This 352-nucleotide long non-coding RNA is filed under the name Equus caballus (horse). Its description in RNAcentral is "lncRNA (ENSECAG00000044355.1)". The record is from RNAcentral. Lineage: Eukaryota; Metazoa; Chordata; Mammalia; Perissodactyla; Equidae.
CCUGCUUCCUUCCCAAUCUUGCCCAACUCUGCUUCCUUCAACAAGAAUUUAUUCCAACAGCACUCCAUAAUUAAGUUCCCCAAAACUUCUCUCCAUCUCAUAAUUGGAUUCUCAGGGAAUUCAGCUUUCAACAUUGGAAUUCUACCCUUGGAGCCAAGCCACGAUGCUGUGUGGAGCUUGAUCCACCUAGAGAGACUACGAGAAGGAGAAUCAAGGAGCUCUGGCUGAAAACCCAGAAAAAAAAAGAAAAAUUGGAAUUAUUUAAGAAAAGGGACAAAGUUACUCCUCAGAUGGUGAAGCCUGAGAUCCCUGGCCAGAAAACAAGGACGAAAGAAAGAAGCAUUUAUAUCCU